RNAcentral lists this unclassified non-coding RNA (24 nucleotides) under Mus musculus (house mouse). RNAcentral's name for it is "oocyte_clustered_small_RNA1705". The record is from RNAcentral. Lineage: Eukaryota; Metazoa; Chordata; Mammalia; Rodentia; Muridae.
UCCUUUGGGGCGCCACGAGCUGGG